CAGCAGCAGCCGCGGGAAUACGUAGGUGGCAAGCGUUGUCCGGAAUUAUUGGGCGUAAAGGGCUCGCAGGCGGUUUCUUAAGUCUGAUGUGUAAGCCCCCGGCUCAACCGGGGAGGGUCAUUGGAAACUGGGAAACUUGAGUGCAGAAGAGAAGAGUGGAAUUCCACGUGUAGCGGUGAAAUGCGUAGAGAUGUGGAGGAACACCAGUGGCGAAGGCGACUCUCUGGUCUGUAACUGACGCUGAGGAGCGAAAGCGUGGGGAGCGAACAGGAUUAGAUACCCCUGUAGUCCCUGUCUCUUAUAC
Molecule: ribosomal RNA, 304 nt
Filed under: uncultured bacterium
Lineage: Bacteria
Description: partial 16S ribosomal RNA
Rfam family: Bacterial small subunit ribosomal RNA
Source: RNAcentral